Molecule: ribosomal RNA, 495 nt
Filed under: uncultured bacterium
Lineage: Bacteria
Description: partial 16S ribosomal RNA
Rfam family: Bacterial small subunit ribosomal RNA
Source: RNAcentral
GACGAACGCUGGCGGCGUGCCUAAUACAUGCAAGUAGAACGCUGAAGGAGGAGCUUGCUCUUCUGGAUGAGUUGCGAACGGGUGAGUAACGCGUAGGUAACCUGCCUGGUAGAGGGGGAUAACUCUUGGAAACGAUAGCUAAUACCGCAUAAGAGUAGAUGUUGCAUGACAUUUGAUUAAAAGAUGCAAUUGCAUCACUACCAGAUGGUCCUGCGUUGUAUUAGCUAGUUGGUGGGGUAACGGCUCACCAAGGCGACGAUACAUAGCCGACCUGGGAGGGGGAUCGGCCACACUGGGACUUGGACACGGCCCAGACUCCUACGGGAGGCAGCAGUAGGGAAACUUCGGGAAUUGACGGAAGUCUGACCGAGCAACGCCGCGUGAGGGAAGAAGGUUUUCGGAUCGGAAAGCUCUUUUGUAAGAGAAGAACGAGUGUGAGAGUGGAAAGUGCACACUGUGACGGUAUCUUAUCAGAAAGAGACGGCUAACUACGUG